ACAAACGCCAGUGGACCUAAAGUGUGCCGGGAAGGUAAGGAAACUGUUUACAUUCUUAACUUCAAAUCCUGCAGCCUUUUUUCUGUUUGUGGGAGACAGAGCGGAGGUGACGUGGAGACCAGGAGGGUGCCAGGAAGAGCUCGACCCAGCUGAUAAAUGUGCUCUCAGCCUCUCAAGAAGGAAGAGUGUCGGUGACAAUACAGAUGAAGAAGAAACAUCAGGACACCAAGAAGUUAAAAAGAUGGUCUGCAAAAUUUACAUACUGCAAGUGAUUCAAGCUGAUUCAGGAUGUCAACCAAACAGUCAGGUCUUAUGAUUAAAGCUUAGAUCAAAAGGACACUCAACAGUCAUUAAACAAUAUGUUCCUUUCAUCUUGCUUUUGUAUCAGACAGAAUUCCAUUAUAACUCUACCUGUAUGUCUACGUGUUUGACAUUAUGCUGUUAUUAUUUUACUUGGAGUUAGCAGAUAACAAAUCUGCUUUUUCUUAUUCAUGAAAACCUUCAAUUGGCUUCUAACUAUUUCUGUUGAAAACAGUUUACAACAUUUUAAUUGGAAAAAGGUUUGGGCAUGCACUAAAAGAAAUUAAAGUUUUUUUGCAAGAAA
Chiloscyllium plagiosum (whitespotted bambooshark) is the source of this 604-nucleotide non-coding RNA. The record is from RefSeq and is a predicted model, not a curated record. NCBI's taxonomy places the organism in Eukaryota, Metazoa, Chordata, Chondrichthyes, Orectolobiformes, Hemiscylliidae.